GACGAACGCUGGCGGCGUGCCUAAUACAUGCAAGUCGAGCGAAGUUUUUCUGGUGCUUGCACCGGAAAAACUUAGCGGCGAACGGGUGAGUAACACGUAAAGAACCUGCCUCAUAGACUGGGACAACUAUUGGAAACGAUAGCUAAUACCGGAUAACAGCAUUAACUGCAUGGUUGAUGUUUAAAAGUUGGUUUUGCUAACACUAUGAGAUGGCUUUGCGGUGCAUUAGCUAGUUGGUGGGGUAAAGGCCUACCAAGGCGACGAUGCAUAGCCGACCUGAGAGGGUGAUCGGCCACACUGGGACUGAGACACGGCCCAGACUCCUACGGGAGGCAGCAGUAGGGAAUCUUCCGCAAUGGGCGAAAGCCUGACGGAGCAACGCCGCGUGAGUGAAGAAGGAUUUCGGUUCGUAAAGCUCUGUUGUUAGGGAAGAAUGAUUGUGUAGUAACUAUACACAGUAGAGACGGUACCUAGCCAGAAAGCCACGGCUAACUACGUG
RNAcentral lists this ribosomal RNA (499 nucleotides) under uncultured bacterium. RNAcentral describes it as "partial 16S ribosomal RNA". It matches the Rfam family "Bacterial small subunit ribosomal RNA", at positions 28 to 507 of the family's 1533-position model. The record is from RNAcentral.